CCCACAAUUGGCACUGUAAGCCGGAGAUGGUGGACACCACAUCGGCACUCCAAGAGGAAGGUGGAGUCCAAACCUGCAUCGGUGCUACACAUAUGACAGGCAAGCCUGGGGAAACCACGGUGGGAUGAGGUGCGGAGGGGAAGCUCCCUGAUAUUGCUGGGCUUACAGCCAACCUCUGUCACACUGGGCCUGCAGACCAGUGCCA
Molecule: non-coding RNA, 205 nt
Organism: Pelobates cultripes (western spadefoot toad)
Lineage: Eukaryota; Metazoa; Chordata; Amphibia; Anura; Pelobatidae
Source: the annotation of a GenBank genome assembly